This 478-nucleotide ribosomal RNA is filed under the name uncultured bacterium. RNAcentral describes it as "partial 16S ribosomal RNA". It matches the Rfam family "Bacterial small subunit ribosomal RNA", at positions 28 to 507 of the family's 1533-position model. The record is from RNAcentral.
GGUGAACGCUAGCGGCAGGCCUAACACAUGCAAGUCGAGGGAGAAGCCCUUUCGGGGGCAGAAACCGGCGCACGGGUGCGUAACGCGUAUGCAACCUACCUUUCACAGGGGGAUAGCCCGAAGAAAUUUGGAUUAAUACCCCAUAAUAUUAUUGGAUGGCAUCAUUUGAUAAUUAAAACUGCGGUGGUGAAAGAUGGGCAUGCGUCCUAUUAGCUAGUUGGAGUGGUAACGGCACCCCAAGGCUACGAUAGGUAGGGGUCCUGAGAGGGAGAUCCCCCACACUGGUACUGAGACAGGGACCAGACUCCUACGGGAGGCAGCAGUGAGGAAUAUUGGUCAAUGGUCGGAAGACUGAACCAGCCAUGCCGCGUGCAGGAAGAAUGCCUUAUGGGUUGUAAACUGCUUUUAUAUGGGAAGAAUAAGGCGUACGUGUACGUUGAUGACGGUACCAUAUGAAUAAGCAUCGGCUAACUCCGUG